RNAcentral lists this ribosomal RNA (253 nucleotides) under uncultured bacterium. Its description in RNAcentral is "partial 16S ribosomal RNA". It matches the Rfam family "Bacterial small subunit ribosomal RNA", at positions 524 to 776 of the family's 1533-position model. The record is from RNAcentral.
UACGUAGGGUGCGAGCGUUAAUCGGAAUUACUGGGCGUAAAGUGUGCGCAGGCGGCCGCGCAAGUCGAGUGUGAAAGCCCCGAGCUUAACUUGGGAACUGCGCUCGAAACUACGUGGCUGGAGUGUGGCAGAGGAAGGUGGAAUUCCAGGUGUAGCGGUGAAAUGCGUAGAGAUCUGGAGGAACACCGAUGGCGAAGGCAGCCUUCUGGGCCAACACUGACGCUCAUGCACGAAAGCGUGGGGAGCGAACAGG